AGUGAACGCUGGCGGUAGGCCUAACACAUGCAAGUCGAACGGCAGCACAGUAAGAGCUUGCUCUUACGGGUGGCGAGUGGCGGACGGGUGAGGAAUACAUCGGAAUCUACUUUUUCGUGGGGGAUAACGUAGGGAAACUUACGCUAAUACCGCAUACGACCUACGGGUGAAAGCAGGGGAUCUUCGGACCUUGCGCGAUUGAAUGAGCCGAUGUCGGAUUAGCUAGUUGGCGGGGUAAAGGCCCACCAAGGCGACGAUCCGUAGCUGGUCUGAGAGGAUGAUCCGCCAACCGGAAAAUGAGACCCGGGCAAGCCCCCCAGGGGAGGCAGAAGGGGGGAAUUUGGGAAAAGGGGGGAAACCCUGACCCAGCCAUACCGGGGGGGUGAAGAAGGCCUUCGGGUUGUAAAGCCCUUUUGUUGGGAAAAAAAAGCAGCAGGUUAAACCCCCGCUGUUCUGACGGAACCAAAAAAAAAAGCACGGGCAAACUUCGG
This 491-nucleotide ribosomal RNA is filed under the name uncultured bacterium. RNAcentral's name for it is "partial 16S ribosomal RNA". It matches the Rfam family "Bacterial small subunit ribosomal RNA", at positions 29 to 506 of the family's 1533-position model. The record is from RNAcentral.